AGUGAACGCUGGCGGUAGGCCUAACACAUGCAAGUCGAACGGCAGCACAGUAAGAGCUUGCUCUUACGGGUGGCGCGUGGCGGACGGGUGAGGAAUACAUCGGAAUCUACUUUUUCGUGGGGGAUAACGUAGGGAAACUUACGCUAAUACCGCAUACGACCUACGGGUGAAAGCAGGGGAUCUUCGGACCUUGCGCGAUUGAAUGAGCCGAUGUCGGAUUAGCUAGUUGGCGGGGUAAAGGCCCACCAAGGCGACGAUCCGUAGCUGGUCUGAGAGGAUGAUCAGCCACACUGGAACUGAGACACGGUCCAGACUCCUACGGGAGGCAGCAGUGGGGAAUAUUGGACAAUGGGCGCAAGCCUGAUCCAGCCAUACCGCGUGGGUGAAGAAGGCCUUCGGGUUGUAAAGCCCUUUUGUUGGGAAAGAAAAGCAGCAGGUGAAUACCCCGCUGUUCUGACGGUACCCAAAGAAUAAGCACCGGCUAACUUCGUG
This 492-nucleotide ribosomal RNA is filed under the name uncultured bacterium. RNAcentral describes it as "partial 16S ribosomal RNA". It matches the Rfam family "Bacterial small subunit ribosomal RNA", at positions 29 to 507 of the family's 1533-position model. The record is from RNAcentral.